AUGGUCAGCUGGACGAACAUCUGUAAACCGCGGGACCAGGGUGGCCUCGGGAUCAUGUCCUCUAGGCGCAUGAAUAUCGCCUUACUGACGCGCUGGCUCUAGAGGAUCGCCAAUGGUGAGGGUGGUCUCUGGUUGGACAUCGUCAGGAACAUAUACCUUCAAGACCAGCCUCUUGCCUUCUGCCAGCGUUCUAGAGGCUCCCAGUUCUGGCAGGCUGUCAUCCAGCUCAUACCGAUCCUCCGGAUUGGUACAUCCAUCUCGGUUCGAUCUGGCUCCUCGACGUUGUUCUGGUUCGACAGGUGGGUGGGGGACCGCCCCCUUGCCGCCCGUUUCCCGAAACUAUUUUCCAUCGCGGUUGACCCUCGGGUCUCCGUCGAGGUGGCCCUUAUAGACUUAGGGCGCCUCACGUUCCGUUGGCCCUUCGCCCCCCUGAGGUGGCUGCCUGGGACGACCUCCUACAAUGCAUUGCCCUGCAACCUAGCCCAUAGACGUUGA
Molecule: ribosomal RNA, 495 nt
Filed under: Triticum aestivum (bread wheat)
Lineage: Eukaryota; Viridiplantae; Streptophyta; Magnoliopsida; Poales; Poaceae
Description: partial small subunit ribosomal RNA
Source: RNAcentral